AGGUUGACAUUCCUAAUAGUGAACACGAGAGAAGGUCGACCAAUCUUUGCCACUGUCUCAACCCGAUAUUUAUAAUAAAAAUGUUAAUUUAUUUUUUCUAAAUUCAGCAGCCAAUUUGUAGUUAAUUUUGUUACGUACAUCUUACAUCUCAUUCUUAUGUUAUUAAAUUGUUUUAUUUUAAACUAAUAUAUUUUUUUUUAUGAAACUAAUAUAUUCACUACUCAAA
This 226-nucleotide long non-coding RNA is filed under the name Brassica napus (rape). RNAcentral's name for it is "long non-coding RNA (BNAP_LNC017179)". Lineage: Eukaryota; Viridiplantae; Streptophyta; Magnoliopsida; Brassicales; Brassicaceae. The record is from RNAcentral.